CAAGAGUCAUUCCAGACAGAAGCAUUAAAAGCUAGUGUGCAUAGUUUGCCACAUUCUCUUGCGACUGCUAUGAUGAUUGUGAAAAAUUGUGUUGUGAUACAUGCCUCAGUUAGCUUGGCCUUUGAGUGACUCAGAGGAGGAAAAUUCUGCUGCCAGCUUAUGAUGGACAUGCAAUCAGAGUAAGAAAUAAACUUGUGGGAAUCUAUUUGCCAUGUUGUGUGGAAAUCCAGCCUGUCUUGCCAAAGACACAAGGAGUGUGAGAGGAAGUUCCACAUGAAGGGACCAUGUAGAGGACAACCAAAGCAUCAUGGCCAAAUCCAGCCCUAAGGCUCCAGACACGUAAGGCAGCCCUCUUGGGCCACCCAGCCUAGCCUGUCUGCUACCUGAAUGCAGACAAUAUGAAUAUCUCCAUCAACACCACGUGGAGUAGAACAGCCCAGUCAACCUAUGGAGUCAUCAGAAGUUAGUAGAAGUCUGUAUGUUGUGGUGGAAAACAACUUCAGCCCUAUAGUCCAACACUGGCCUAUCAAAACUUGACCUAUGUUUUACAGAACUAGAACCUCACUGGAGGAAAAACCAUUUUCGUUUAAGAAAGUCCUUGGUGAAGUAGUAAAAAAUAUUAAUUUUAUUAAAUCUCAACCUUGAGUACAAGUCUUAAACAUUCUGAGUGAUGAAAGAGAAGAAUAUUUGAAGUGCUUCUGCUGCAUACCAAAGUAUGACAAUUGUCUCAAAAAAAAGCACUUGUGUGACUGUUUGAGAUGCCAGCUGCACUAGUCCCUUUUGUUUGAGAGCCACCAUUUUUACCUGAAAGAAUGUACAGACAAACUAUGGGCAUUCAAAGUUGAAUAUUUUGCAGACAUUUUCUUGCAAAUAAAUAAAGACGGCCUGUGGCUUCAGGAAAAACAACUGACAGUAUUUUCAGCCGAUUAUAAAAUUAAAUCUUUCAAGAGACCGUGCCUUGACAGCUCCCCAAUACUUCCAAGAGAUGGAAGGUAGCAUUAGUAAAUACAUUUUUUAAUGUUAUAUAACAGAAUGUUUUAAAGAUUAUAAUAUCUAUAUAACCAUGAAGAAGAGUAUUUUUCAAAUGACCAACACAUGGUGUUACAUAAUCAUGAGUGGGUAAAAAUGCAAGAUAGAAGAAUGGAUUUUAAUGCAACAGAGUAGAAAACAUUCACUUCCCAUUUCAUACUGCAACUAACCUUUAAGAAACUACAACUUGUUGAGUUUUGAGUUUUAUCAAAGAAUGUCUACAAUUUACAUGAAGAGUCUAUUAAAAUACUUCUCUAUUUUUCAACUCCAUGUCUGUAUGAGUCAAGACUUUCUUCAUGUAUGUCAACCAAAAGCACAUUGAAUUAUAGAAGUAGAUAUGAGAAUCCAGUUGUCUUCUGUUUAGCCAGAUAUGAAGGAGAUUUGUAAAAUGAAAAACAAAGCUACUCCUUUCAG
Molecule: long non-coding RNA, 1443 nt
Organism: Rhinopithecus roxellana (golden snub-nosed monkey)
Lineage: Eukaryota; Metazoa; Chordata; Mammalia; Primates; Cercopithecidae
Exons: 4
Source: RefSeq, a predicted model, not a curated record